Long non-coding RNA from Vanessa tameamea, 578 nucleotides. RefSeq lists it as uncharacterized. The transcript is spliced from 2 exons. Lineage: Eukaryota; Metazoa; Arthropoda; Insecta; Lepidoptera; Nymphalidae. The record is from RefSeq and is a predicted model, not a curated record.
UGUCUCAUAUUAGAAAAAAGUAAAUUUGUGGUGAGCCUAGUCUAUUCUGCUUACUGUUAGGAGACCCACAUAACAACAUUAAUAAUGGCACGUUAGUGAUUGAUUAAAAUGAAAGUAUCGUAUUCAAAUUGCUACAAUAAUAAUAAUAAUAAUAAAUAACACACAUUGAAUACCGGAUAAACUGCAUAUAAAAACACAAAAUUUAUUAUAGUACGUUUUGCGUCGGGUCAGUAUACGAGUAUUUAACAAAGCGAAACCUGUUCAAAUGUGAUCUGCGCAGUGACUUGCCAAGACUACAGGUGUAAAGUUGUUUUAACAACAUAAGUUCAAUAUUAAAGAGAUAAAAUUAUGUUUGCUCUACAAAAAUGUAUGCUAAGUAUACUGGUAAUCGUCUGUAUUCUUCUAUUGGUGGAGUCAGCAACCCGAGUAGUCGGCUCAGAUAAGUGUCCUGUAGGCCAAAUACUUGUAAAAAUAGGUGAUAUCCGAAAAUGCGUCCCACAAGCAACAAAAUCAUAACACAAGGACUAUAUAUUGUAUACAAUAACAGUGCAGAUAUUGUUAAUAUAGCCAAAAAGCAA